This 87-nucleotide small RNA is filed under the name Sinorhizobium meliloti 2011. RNAcentral describes it as "putative ncRNA". Lineage: Bacteria; Pseudomonadati; Pseudomonadota; Alphaproteobacteria; Hyphomicrobiales; Rhizobiaceae. The record is from RNAcentral.
GUCGAGCACGAGACGAGCUGAUUUGCUGCGGGAGACGCAGGUCAUGAUCUUUGUCCCCGAGGCCCGCUCCGAUGGGCUGAGAUAGAC